Pongo abelii (Sumatran orangutan) is the source of this 63-nucleotide non-coding RNA. The record is from Rfam. NCBI's taxonomy places the organism in Eukaryota, Metazoa, Chordata, Mammalia, Primates, Hominidae.
AAGUGUUCCAGCUCUUUCAGAAUUUGUCUAGCAAGUUUUCGGGUUUUCAUUAGAAAAUCUCCC